RNAcentral lists this ribosomal RNA (624 nucleotides) under uncultured bacterium. Its description in RNAcentral is "bacterial SSU rRNA". The stretch from base 1 to 519 matches the Rfam family "Bacterial small subunit ribosomal RNA", at positions 338 to 873 of the family's 1533-position model. The record is from RNAcentral.
CCUACGGGAGGCAGCAGUGGGGAAUAUUGGACAAUGGGCGAAAGCCUGAUCCAGCAAUGCCGCGUGAGUGAAGAAGGCCUUCGGGUUGUAAAGCUCUUUUACCCGGGAAGAUAAUGACUGUACCGGGAGAAUAAGCUCCGGCUAACUCCGUGCCAGCAGCCGCGGUAAUACGGAGGGAGCUAGCGUUGUUCGGAAUUACUGGGCGUAAAGCGUACGUAGGCGGCUUGGUAAGUCAGAGGUGAAAGCCCACGACUCAAUCGUGGAACUGCCUUUGAGACUGCUUCGCUUGAAGAUGGGAGAGGUUAGUGGAAUUCCGAGUGUAGAGGUGAAAUUCGUAGAUAUUCGGAAGAACACCAGUGGCGAAGGCGGCUAACUGGACCAUUCUUGACGCUGAGGUACGAAAGCGUGGGGAGCAAACAGGAUUAGAUACCCUGGUAGUCCACGCCGUAAACGAUGAUAACUAGCUGUCGGGGCUCUUGGAGCUUCGGUGGCGCAGCUACGCAUUAAGUUAAUUCCGUCCGUCGGGUAGGUACGGGUCCGGCCGAACGGUUAAAACCGUUAACGAAACGGAAAGUUAGUACGGCGUGAGACGUGCCCGACGGACGACCGACCGAGGGAGGUAGG